UAGUUGAGCAGCUGACACCCAUGUAAUAGGAGGAGUGGACCAAAGAACAAUUCCUCUAUAUCCAGGAGUAUUUCACACCUUCUCUGGCAGAAACCUUUUCACCAUUUUAGGACUCCUUCUUUUGAAAGGUGGGUUUAUCCAUUGGGAUUCAUUUAACUGUAAAUAACAGAGUAUCCAGCAGGUCAUUUUGCAAACCCUACAUUAGUUACAUAGA
RNAcentral lists this long non-coding RNA (214 nucleotides) under Felis catus (domestic cat). Its description in RNAcentral is "lncRNA (ENSFCAG00000045257.2)". Lineage: Eukaryota; Metazoa; Chordata; Mammalia; Carnivora; Felidae. The record is from RNAcentral.